AGUUGCUGAUGUCUCUAUGUCCCCUUCUAUGUGGCAAGUCCUUGGAGAUGACAGAGUGAAGAGAAGGACCCAGCCCUGCCGUCAAGGACUAGCAGAGUGGCCUGCACAAGGACAGUGCUUGGUGAGGACAGAAGUGAAUGGGGAACCAAGCCUGGAGAGACAGAGCUAAAAUAUAAAGAAGAGAGAGAGAAUAGCACGAGAGAGGUGAAUUCGCCUCCUACAUGGGCACAAGAAGGUGACACCAUGCUCCAAGGGGCAGGAUGGAAAGAGAGAGGCUGCGGUGACCUGCAGGAAACUGCCAGGUAUGGCUCUGCAGCCACUGCUCAGGGCCCACAAGUGCCGGCAUCUCCCAGGAAAGAUGAGGUGUUCACCUAAAAGUCAGGUGGUCAGAAACUGGGGUGGGGGUUAGGAGAACCACUGUUCUUCAUGAGUUGAAAACAAAACAUUGAGAAGAAGGACAGAAUCAGAGCUGCGGAGAUCCUGAUGCACUGGAACUAG
RNAcentral lists this long non-coding RNA (498 nucleotides) under Homo sapiens (human). RNAcentral's name for it is "long non-coding RNA NONHSAT241759". Lineage: Eukaryota; Metazoa; Chordata; Mammalia; Primates; Hominidae. The record is from RNAcentral.